Molecule: long non-coding RNA, 2483 nt
Organism: Alnus glutinosa
Lineage: Eukaryota; Viridiplantae; Streptophyta; Magnoliopsida; Fagales; Betulaceae
Exons: 9
Source: RefSeq, a predicted model, not a curated record
UAAUCUUCUCCACUUUCUUCACUUUCAUCUUCUCCACUUUCUUCGGCAUUUCUAGACAUUUCUCUCUCUCUCUCUCUCUCUCUCUCUCUCUCUCUCUCUCUCUCUCUCUCUUUCUGUCUCUCAAGUCCCUCUCGAGUCUCUCUCUCACGCUCUCUCUUUUCCCCUCGACAGCCGUACUACCCGGGUGUCGUUUCUAGCUCCGCCGACCGCUUCUCCGGCAGCCUUCAACCAUCUCAUUUGUCUGAGAUUUGCACUUCAGCUGCACCGGUCUCUAAAAAGUUUUUUCUCGAGUUAGCUGUUGGCUUUGAGGAUCCUCAUGUUCACCAUCAUAUUGGUGAUGAUAUGUUCAAAAUAGUGUGGUUGCUUUUUUCCCUCUUUAAUUUGGUUUCUGUUGAAUCGGCCUGGGUAAGCUGGAAUCUAUGGAUUUAGGUUUUUGAUAUUCCAAAUAUUACACGUCUCUAAAAAGCUUUUUCUCGAGUUAGCUGUUGGCUUUGAGGAUCCUCGCCCCCUUUUUAAUUUGGUUUCUGUUGAAUCGGCCUGGUUGAAACGGAUCUUCAGGCAAGAGCAAAAUUCAAGUAUGAGAUACGAAAGCAUUUAGCGGAGCAUUGUAGAGCUGAAUAUGAUAGGGUGCCAAACUUCCUCCACUGGGUUCUUGCUGAAAUUGCUAUUGUUGCGUGUGACAUUCCUGAAGGGACCAUAUGAGCAUAUGUAUGAACAGUAAGAGGAGUUCCAGCAGGAGCUGAAAUUGAAGGUUCGAGACAUAUUAACACAACAAGAAUGGCGAAGGUGAAAAAUGCAGAUGAGGAUAUCAGAAGAGGAAGGUAUAUUGAAGGAGGAUGAAGAAGAAACAAAAGAGAUAUGGAAGAGAAAGCAUGAGCACGAGGAGUAGUGGGACAAGAGGACAAAGGGGAUGCUGUUUUUAUUCAGAGUCUACAUGUCGAUUAUGUGCUUCAAGAAGACUCUGUGCGGAUUACAAGACAGAGAAGUUGAAUCCCUUGCAUCCGUCCGGACGUCCCUGUCAAUCGUCCGGAUGCUCUUCAGUUAAGCAACAUUUGUUCAAAAGAUUUGGUUAUUUCGUCCGGACUCCCAUCAGUGUCCAGAAGCUUCAAAUUGUGUAAGCUUGCAUCCGUUCAAACGUCGCUACAAUGGGUCUGAACUCUCUUCAAAGUUCCAAAAGAAUCCAGCGUUCAAGUGCAUCCAUCCGAAUGAUGUGGUAAUACCAUCUGGAUGCCAAUCCUUAUUAUGGAAAUUAUGUGUAGCUAAAGUGCAACCGCCUGGACGCUAGGGCACCACCGUUCGGACGUGGCUCUAUUCAGGAAAGAAUUUCAGGGAAUUUAGAAAGACGGUUGCACAUUUGGCCGUCUAGACGCCCUCAGCUAUCGUCCGAAUGCCGCCUAGAGAAAAUCAAUUCAGACUUGAUUUAGGUCUUCUAUAGCCUAUAUAUAGAGGCCUCUACGCGUGUACAAUGUACAGAAUUCGGUAUUGAAUUCUCUAUAGCUUAGAGAGGGUGUUUAGGGAGAUUUGAAGAUCUACUAGCUCUUUAACUGUUGCAAGUGUGUGAUUUGAUCAGCUGUGAAGUCUAUCUUAGGGAGGAGUCAUAAGGUAAAGGAUUUCAAUGAAGACCCUUCAAGUAGGUGACUUGGUUGGGAGGCGUUCAUGUUGGGUUACACGUCAGAGUGACCGCUUGCCCCAAAUCAUGGUUUUUCGCUCGUCCGUUCGGUACGAAAUUCAAAAGGCAUAUAGGUCCAGUUGAGGCGAUCAUGUGAACACGCAGAACUUGUCAUUUGGAGUUCGAUUCCCAACCCCCGACCCCCAAUGUUCGGUUCAGAAGGCCAGCUUUUUUUGGAAAGUCCAGAAUACCAGAUUUGGAGCAAACGGUCACAGAACGGAUCAAAAAAUUUUGGGGACAUCCCCGCUGAUAAUAUCUACACCGUCGCAAAAUUUUAUGCCAAUCAGAGACUGCAUAAACGCUACAUUGGUAAAUAAUCUAGCCAUGAAUGAUUUGAUAGUUCAAAGGAUGGCUCAGAUAUAUCAUGACAUGGGAUGGGAUAUCCCACUUGAGGAUUUUUCCCCUGCACAACCUGAGGAGGGACAACCUGAUGUUCCAAACAUGGAACAACCAGAGAUCCUGGCCCCCAUUGAGCAUUGGGAGGAGAUUCCUGCGUCACCGGUAGAGAGUGUUUUCUGUAAUACUAAAGACAAAUAGGAUAUGAGGAGGAGGAGUACCAGGAUUACCCAAAUCCUUAGGUGGAUCCAGUUGUCAAUACUUGAGGCUAGCUUGCCUCCAUUUUGUGGACUGCUGUGUUCCAGUCGUUUAUUAUAUUAUCUUGAGAACGAUAUUUAUAUUUCUGUUGGUGUUUAUUAGCUAUACUCUAGUUAUUUUGGCUUGUAAAUUAUUUGUGCCUUGUGUGGCACAAAUACUAUCUUAUGUGUAAUUAUUCAGUUACACUUUAUAUAUUUAUUUUGAGGUAUUUCAAUUAGAA